GACGAACGCUGGCGGCGUGCUUAACACAUGCAAGUCGAACGGAAAGGCCCUGCUUUUGUGGGGUGCUCGAGUGGCGAACGGGUGAGUAACACGUGAGUAACCUGCCCUUGACUUUGGGAUAACUUCAGGAAACUGGGGCUAAUACCGGAUAGGAGCUCCUGCUGCAUGGUGGGGGUUGGAAAGUUUCGGCGGUUGGGGAUGGACUCGCGGCUUAUCAGCUUGUUGGUGGGGUAGUGGCUUACCAAGGCUUUGACGGGUAGCCGGCCUGAGAGGGUGACCGGCGACAUUGGGACUGAGAUACGGCCCAGAAUCCUACGGGAGGCAGCAGUGGGGAAUAUUGCACAAUGGGCGGAAGCCUGAUGCAGCAACGCCGCGUGCGGGAUGACGGCCUUCGGGUUGUAAACCGCUUUCGCAUGUGACGAAGCGUGAGUGACGGUAAUGGGUAAAGAAGCACCGGCUAACUACGUG
RNAcentral lists this ribosomal RNA (468 nucleotides) under uncultured bacterium. Its description in RNAcentral is "partial 16S ribosomal RNA". It matches the Rfam family "Bacterial small subunit ribosomal RNA", at positions 28 to 507 of the family's 1533-position model. The record is from RNAcentral.